GUAGGUGAACCUGCGGAAGGAUCAUUAACACGUAUCCACGUAUCAGCCCACAGUGUCACGAGUGCGCGUUGUCUACCGCGCGUGCUCAGUUUUCUUUUUUCCACAAUGAAUUUUAACCACUUGAACCCAUCAGACUAAAACUAUUUCGUGCUUCUUUUGCGCAAGCAAAAGAAACCGAAACAAUAAAAUAACAAGAAACAACUCUUAGCGACGGAUUUCUUGGCUCCC
Molecule: unclassified non-coding RNA, 228 nt
Filed under: rhizosphere metagenome
Description: partial ribosomal RNA internal transcribed spacer region
Source: RNAcentral